RNAcentral lists this ribosomal RNA (448 nucleotides) under uncultured bacterium. RNAcentral describes it as "bacterial SSU rRNA". It matches the Rfam family "Bacterial small subunit ribosomal RNA", at positions 28 to 458 of the family's 1533-position model. The record is from RNAcentral.
GACGAACGCUGGCGGCGUGCUUAACACAUGCAAGUCGAACGGGGCACCCCUGACGGAGUUUUCGGACAACAGAAGGGAAUGCUUAGUGGCGGACGGGUGAGUAACGCGUGAGGAACCUGCCUUUCAGAGGGGGACAACAGUUGGAAACGACUGCUAAUACCGCAUAACAUAUAUGGGCCGCAUGGUCUGUAUAUCAAAGAUUUAUCGCUGAAAGAUGGCCUCGCGUCUGAUUAGAUAGUUGGCGGGGUAACGGCCCACCAAGUCGACGAUCAGUAGCCGGACUGAGAGGUUGAACGGCCACAUUGGGACUGAGAUACGGCCCAGACUCCUACGGGAGGCAGCAGUGGGGAAUAUUGGGCAAUGGGCGCAAGCCUGACCCAGCAACGCCGCGUGAAGGAAGAAGGCUUUCGGGUUGUAAACUUCUUUUAUCAGGGAAGAUGAAUGAGAC